Molecule: long non-coding RNA, 644 nt
Filed under: Gossypium barbadense (sea-island cotton)
Lineage: Eukaryota; Viridiplantae; Streptophyta; Magnoliopsida; Malvales; Malvaceae
Description: long non-coding RNA (GBAR_LNC008677)
Source: RNAcentral
GGACUGCUCUUACAUCGUUAAUGGAUGUCGAGAGGAGGCACGGUAUGGUUACUUCACCUUAUCACUUCAAGCAUUUUGAUCACUUUACUAAAAAAAAAAAACCAGGCAAAUUAGUCCUUUAGUUAAAAAUUUCAGCAUUUUUACCGUUCAAAAUUGGCCAUUGUACGUCAUCAUAAUAUACACAUGGCAUGCCAUGUAUUAUUGUUUAAUUAUUCCGUCAACCACGUCAGUUGAUAACCGUGCAAAUAGAUGAAACUUUUAACAGAAAGGACCAAUAUACUCUUUGAACUAACAUAUAUGAAUUAAUUUACUUAUUUUUUUAAUAGAAGAAGGCAAAAUGUAAUAUAACUCCUAGUAUAUGGACCUCUAUAGUGCCUUUACCGCCAGUGAAGUGUUCGGAAACUGUAAAUGGAAAACAUAAUGAACACGAGAUCAAUAUGGAAUAAAUUAUGCUCACAAGAGAUAAUAUUUAAAGCAUAGUUGCCCGAUGGCCUAAUCCACGAAUGAGAGGAAAAUCCACUAAAUCCGAGGAGCUCUGAAACAAACCCAAAAUUUUUGCUUUCCAGGAAUACACUAUAUCUCGUUAUCCCGGUGUUUUACCAAUUCCUUCUCACAUCCCUACAAAACCCAUCUUCUAUACAGAG